GCAAACUUGGUCAUUUAGAGGAAGUAAAAGUCGUAACAAGGUUUCCGUAGGUGAACCUGCGGAAGGAUCAUUAACGAAUUAUAAAAUUGUCGAAAGACGAUUUUUUUUUCUAUUUCAAACACCUGUGAACGAUUAUAAAACAUUUGCUUUGGCCAAAAAGUAAAAUUUUUGGCCAAAGGAUUUUAUAACAAAACUCUGUUUAUUUUAACAAUCUUGUCUGAAAAUGAUUAAAAUUAAUAAAUCAAAACUUUCAACAACGGAUCUCUUGGUUCUCGCAUCGAUGAAGAACGCAGC
RNAcentral lists this unclassified non-coding RNA (294 nucleotides) under uncultured fungus. RNAcentral's name for it is "partial contains small subunit ribosomal RNA, internal transcribed spacer 1, and 5.8S ribosomal RNA". The stretch from base 1 to 73 matches the Rfam family "Eukaryotic small subunit ribosomal RNA", at positions 1759 to 1831 of the family's 1831-position model. The record is from RNAcentral. Lineage: Eukaryota; Fungi.